AUGGCGAUCGCGCAGACCAUCCUCACGGAGGGCCUCGCCGACGAGAUCGCGCUCGUGGACGCAGAGGCCGACAGGGUCCGCGGCGAGAUGCUGGACCUGCAGCACGCCGCGGCAUUCCUCCCACGCGUCCGCAUCGUCGCAGGCACCGACGUGCUCGCGCUCACCAGGAGCUCCGACCUGGCCAUCAUCACGGUGCCCAGGGAGACGGCGGCGGCGUCGCGGAUGGACCAGCUGAGGAGGAACGUGGCGCUGCUGAGGGAGGUCAUGCCGACGGUGGCGGAGGGGUCGCCCGAGUCGCUACUGCUGGUGGUGUCGAACCCGGUGGACGUGCUGGCGUAUGCGGCAUGGAAGCUGUCGGGGUUCCCGUCGAGCCGCGUGAUCGGCUCCGGCACGGACCUCGACUCCGCCAGGCUGCGGUGCCUCCUGGCCGAGCACCUCGACGUGGGCGCGCAGGACAUGCAGGCGUACAUGGUCAGCGAGCAUGGAGACGGCGCGCUGGCGCUGUGGUGGAGCAUCCGCGUCGGCGGCAUGCCGGUGCUGAGCUACCUCCAGAAGACCCACUCGUUGUUCGAUGCGGUGGGCUGCGCGGGCGAGGUGAUCGGCCUCAAGGGGUACACGUCCUGGGCCAUCGGCUACUCGGCGGCCAGCCUGGCCCGGUCGCUCCUCCGCGACCAGCGGCGCGUCCACCCGGUGUCGGUGCUCGCCAAGGGGUUCGUCCCCGGCGACACCCACGAGGUCUUCCUUAGCCUCCCGGCCAGGCUCGGGCGCCGCGGCGUGCUCGGGAUUGUUGGCAAUAUGAGCAAAUUACUACGAGAUUUAAUCCAAAUAAACAGAAGAUAA
RNAcentral lists this ribosomal RNA (840 nucleotides) under Triticum aestivum (bread wheat). RNAcentral's name for it is "partial small subunit ribosomal RNA". The record is from RNAcentral. Lineage: Eukaryota; Viridiplantae; Streptophyta; Magnoliopsida; Poales; Poaceae.